CUUUCCCUACCCAUCCACCUGAUCCUUUCAUUUCCUCCUUGCAGCGCCGCCCGUUUUCUUCCCUCUCCCACCCCCUUCUUUCCUUCAACGUAGUCAGGUCCUCUCCCACCCCCUUCUUUCCUUCAACACAGUCAGGUUCUUCCCUCUCCGUAGCAAGCAAGAGGAGCUCAAAGGUAACCUAUUUCUUAUUUCUUCCCUCUUCGCAGCAUCGCGCGCUACCUUGCCAGGUGACGAACAACCACUUCGCCUAUGGCUGCACUCAGGGGGCCACAGCCUCGCCAAGCUAGUGGUUCGCUAACGGCCGGUUCUCACAUGAACUCAUGUGAGGGAGCCGAUGGCUCGCCAAGUAGUCGAUUCACAAACGAUCGCAUACGAGGGGUGGAUGCCUCGUUGGGCAGUGGCUUGUUGCGAGGUAGCGACAUCGCUACCUGCUUUUGAAAUUCUUGCCCUUUUCUUUUUUCCCCCAAUUAAUUUGAUCUGCAUUGGUUGAAUAACUAUAGGAAUUUUAAUCAUAAAUUGGUUGAUUUUGUUGACUGUGAAUAUAGUAGAGAAGUUACUUUGUUGUGUUUGUUGUUGGUAAUUAUGCAUGAUGCUUGUGAUGUUUGUAAUUGAGAUUAUGUGUUUGUCACAAAUAAAAAAGAAGAGUCCAAGUAGGGAAGAGGAGAUUGUAAAUUCUAAACUCUUGGUCUCAUUCUUGGCUUUAUGCCUGUAUUUCUAUUAAAUGCUAUAAAAAUACCUUCGGAAUUGUGACUCAGAUAUUUACUUUAAAUAAAAAUAAAUCAAUCAAAAGUUAGUACCUAAUAUCAUCUUUUGGAAUUUGGUUAUCAAAACUUAGUAAAUAUAUUGAAAUUGGCUUCGUUUCUCAUCAUUAGCAUGCACCAAUGGUGGUUUUUGACUUUCAUAAAAAAAAUAGUGGUUAUUGAUGAGUAGGACAAUGCUUCUCUAAAGAUAAGUACACAAAGAGGACAUAGGAAACAUAAGUUGAGUGAAUAACCAUAACAUCUAUUUCUUUAGAGUGGCAUGCAUAUUUUCCAUGUCAAACUAAACUAAAAGUAGAUAGAUUGAACUUUGUUCACUUGCAUGGUCUAACUAUUUCUAUGUUUAUAUACCUUUAAAAUCUCCUUUUAUGUAAUUUACAACACGUAUUUAUUAAAUGAUAGCUCACUCAUAUAUCACCCUUUCUUAUGUUUUAAUGGCUUUAGAAGGAAGUAGUUGCAAACUUUGAUUUUUCUUCUCUGCUAGUAUGUUGUGUGAAAGCUCUUGUAAUCAUUAACCAUAAUCUUAUAUGUGCAGGCAGGCUAAAGCUCCACUAGAUUUUGAUAGUUCUUUGUAUAACCAACUAACCCUAUAAAAGAUGUCACUGUAUGGAGAUUAGUUCAUGUAAAUUUGAUAUUAGACUAAAUGUUUAGUAGGAAAUCUCUGUAGAAUCUAUUUUUCAUUAUCAGAUUUGAUAAAUUGAUAGCAACAACACUACUAGACUUGGGUAGUGAAAAAUUGGAAAGGACAAAUAAAAAAGAAGUAAUUUGUUUAGCAGAAAAGAAGCAUGGCAUGCGUUUGUACAAAUAGUUAAUGGAAAAAUUGUGAUGAUGUAAUAAGUUGUGAUGAUGUGGGGGAUGAAUUGAAUAUUAUGGAUGGUGCCUAAUUGUGAUGAUGUAAUAAGUUGUGAUGAUGUGGGGGAUGAAUUGAAUAUUAUGGAUGAAAAAGGCACCGCUCUACUGUAAAACUUUCAUAAAUCAUCUAAGGUUAGGAAUAUUACUCUUGCCGCUUGUUCCCUUGGCAGAGUGAAAUUACCCUUGCACACUUUAUGAGUUGACCUUUGGAACUUUGUGUAGUGCAUCAAAUUGCAUAGCGCAUCAAAUUGGAUAGUGCAUCAACAAAUUUUCACUUGAAGACCUUUUAUCUCUCAUGUUGAACUAUCAACCAGAAAUGUGAAAUAUAUCACAAAAUAUUAUGAAAUCCUCUUAGAAAGUAUUUGCUCAACUGGUAUACAAUGUUUUAUUAGUUUUGUAUUCUAAAUUGGUUGCAGCAUUGUUUUGACAUUAAAUGCUAAAUUCAUAGUGAUAUCAGAAUCAUCAAUUCAUAGUUAUUUUGUCGACAUAUUUUCCUUUGGCUUGUAGAUACACAAAAAACUUUUGCUUAUUAAUAGUGGGUACACCAAACACAUCAACUAGUUUUAUUGUGUUUAUUUAUCCUUGCCUACUGUAACUCUAGUCAUCAGGAUGAGAUGAUUAUACUUAUUGCUCUGUCAAUGCGAUUACUUGUUUCUUUGACUGUGCAAAAUGGUGGAAGAAAGGAUUUUAGAACCAGAGAUAUCAAUGAUGGAGAUCUUGUUGUGAAGAGAUUAAUUACAACAAAUACUAAUGGCAUAUAUACUAUACAGAUCUGCAGAUCUUUCUCUAUCUUACUGGUUCUUGCAGACUUCUGAAGAUAAACUCUUUGAUGAAAUGCUGAUGUUGGACCAGUUCGAUUUUGCUACCAAAGAAAUUCCUCCUUUGGGCAAGGCUCUUUCAAACAUCAUAAAUUUGGCAAAUGAGGACAACGAUUUUGGUUCUUAUGGCUUAUUUAUCCAAGGCUUAGAUUGUAAACUCUAUACUCAUACUAAUGAUGUGAGGAGUUAUGAUGAUGUGGUGAAUGAAUUGAUUGUUUUGGGUGUAAAUUUUUUCUAUUCUAUAUAAUGGGUGAAUUGAAUGUUGUGGAUAUAAAUUUUUUCUAUUCUAUAUAAUGGGUGAAUUGAAUGUUGUGGAUAUAAA
RNA transcript from Zingiber officinale, 2750 nucleotides. RefSeq lists it as uncharacterized. The transcript has 2 exons. Lineage: Eukaryota; Viridiplantae; Streptophyta; Magnoliopsida; Zingiberales; Zingiberaceae. The record is from RefSeq and is a predicted model, not a curated record.